UCAUCAGGAGGUUAGUCCUUACCUGUUCCUCCUCUCGGAGGGCAGUAGAACAUGAUGAUUGGGGCUUGUAUGAUCUGCUGAUUAGCAUUUCCGUAUAACCAGGACCUGACAACCACAAAAAAAAAAAAAAGAAUUGUGUACUCUGAC
Small nucleolar RNA from Mastomys coucha (southern multimammate mouse), 147 nucleotides. RefSeq annotates it as U8 small nucleolar RNA. NCBI's taxonomy places the organism in Eukaryota, Metazoa, Chordata, Mammalia, Rodentia, Muridae. The transcript has a single exon. The record is from RefSeq and is a predicted model, not a curated record.